UACGUAGGGUGCAAGCGUUGUCCGGAAUUAUUGGGCGUAAAGAGCUCGUAGGCGGUUUGUCGCGUCGGCUGUGAAAACCUGGGGCCCAACCCCGGGCCUGCAGCCGAUACGGGCAAACUAGAAUUCGGUGAGGGGAGACUGGAAUUCCUGGUGUAGCGGUGAAAUGCGCAGAUAUCAGGAGGAACACCGGUGGCGAAGGCGGGUCUCUGGGCCGAUAUUGACGCUGAGGAGCGAAAGCGUGGGGAGCAAACAGG
Molecule: ribosomal RNA, 254 nt
Filed under: uncultured bacterium
Lineage: Bacteria
Description: partial 16S ribosomal RNA
Rfam family: Bacterial small subunit ribosomal RNA
Source: RNAcentral